This 2152-nucleotide long non-coding RNA is filed under the name Homo sapiens (human). Its description in RNAcentral is "non-protein coding lnc-DERA-1:4". Lineage: Eukaryota; Metazoa; Chordata; Mammalia; Primates; Hominidae. The record is from RNAcentral.
ACAACUAACUCAGCAAUGGUGGGCGCCCCUCCCCCAGCCUCGCUGCUGCCUUGCAGUUUGAUCUCGGACUGCUGUGCUAGCAAUGAGCGAGACUCCGUGGGCAUGGGACCCUCCGAGCCAGGUGCGAGAUAUAAUCUCCUGGUGUGCCUUGUUUUAAGCCCAUUGGAAAAGCACAGUAUUAGAGUGGGAGAGACCUGAUUUUCCAGGUGCCGUCUCUCACCCCUUUCUUUGACUAGGAAAGGGAAUUCCCUGACCCCUUGCACUUCCUGGGUGAGGCGAUGCCUCGCCUUGCUUUGGCUCGUGCACGGUGCACUGCACCCACUGACCUGCGCCUACUGUCUGGCACUCCCCAGCGAGAUGAACCUGGUACCUCAGUUGGAAAUGCAGAAAUCACCCGUUUUCUGCCUCACUCACGCUGGGAGCUGUAGACCGGAGCUGUUCCUAUUCGGCCAUCUUGGCUUCUCUCUGAGCUAAUACUUUUAAAAUAUUUUGCACUCCACAGAGGAAGGUUUUAUAUGUAAGUCUGAGUUUUGUUUUUCUGAGUUGUUUUCAGUUGGUCCAUGUGAUUACAUUUUUAUACAUGGUAAAAAUUUAUAUAUUUUUUUCCAAGUCUUUUUCUUUUUCUUUUCUUUUCUUUUUUCUUUUUAUUUUUGAGACGGAGUUUUGUUCUUGUUGUCCAGGAUGGAGUGCAAUGGCAUGAUCUCAGCUCACCGCAACCUCUGCCUCCCGGAUUCAAGUGAUUCUCCUGCCUCAGCCUCUUGAGUAGCUGGGAUUACAGGUCUAGUGGCACUUGAAUCUUUAGCACAACAGGGAGCCUCUGUGCCCAGGGUUCAGUGGCUUCCAGGAAUUCUUCCCAGAAUAAACCUCAACAUUCUGCAGUCUUCAUGGGUGCUGGCGCAAGUUGCUUUUCAAGUUCUUCAUACUCUACUGACCUCAGACUUCUUCUCAGCCCGAGGAAAACAGCUUCCUCUUCCUCCUGGCCAUUCACCAAGACACACCAUUCUCUUCUCUCCUUGUCCAGGGCGCUUAGCAUGGUCACUUCCAAAGUUUGUGCAUUUUCAAAAGAAAAUGAAGACAUCCUUCCAUGCUGUUGCAAACAUGCCCUGAGGCAAGAAAUCACAAAGGCUCUUUGGAAAACAGGAAUAAGUGACUGCAGGUAUGACAGAAAGUGAAACAGAAUAAAUGAAAAUUAACGCCCCACAGAUGUAUUUAUCCACAAAUUUUAUCAUAAGGUGACUUGUUGGUAGUCACAUAAAAAGUAGAAAAAAACCCCUCUGAAUCAAGUAUUUUAAAGUAUUCCUGGGUAUCUUUCCUCUAAGUCUCAGAUUAUCCACACAGGGUCCACAUAGUUUUAAGAAUAGUUGGCAUGCCUAGGCUUAACUCUGUGGGACAGUAAAUUUUUUUAAAAAAAAGCUUUUGCCUGCUCUUGGAAGACAAUAUUGUGUUCAAUAUAGUGCAGUGCUCCACAGCUUGUAAAAUCAACUAUGUGGCACAAAUCUGAAGACGUCUUCAAAAGAUAUAUGGCAAGAAAGAUAUGUUGCCGGCUUUAGUCAUCUUUGCCAUUUCUCUUAUGGAAUUUCACUAUAGUGGCUGGACAUGUGCAACCCACAUCCUGUCUGGCCUUAAUGUGAUUUUUCUACAAAAGGAGAGGAGGACAAAAGUAAAAGCAAAAUAUGCUUUACAAUGAAAAAUGCAACCCUCAGCCACUGGGAUAAAAUUACAUUGACAGUGGGGGAGUUAUUUUCUUCCUUCAAAGAACGAUGUUUGAUGUUCCAACUAGACUCUAUGGUGAUGAAGCUCAUAAUUUGGGAGCUGAAUCAGAUUCGAAUUUAGAAAAGGGGUUUCAGACGUUGCUUAGCAGGGUGAUUUUAGGGGUUAACAUAUGAAUAGAGAUUACAUUAUAACUCAUCUGCCCUGUGUUUGUUGGACACAGCUUAUAUGACCUAUUCCUGAUGGUUGCUCAUAGAAGGAUAUUUAAAUUCUGUUGUAAUUCUUCCUUAUAAAAUCUGUGACAUUCUAAUAGAUAGAAAAUGUUUAAAUCUUGUCUAGUUUCUGCUUCGUUUCCUUCUUUAUGUUGAUUUCUUCCUAUUUAUCUCUUUUGUGCAUCACACAUAUUUCACUAUAAACUCGAUUUUUGUGGGUGAAAGGCCAC